GUAAAGUGGCGCACGGGUGAGUAACGCGUGGAUAAUCUGCCCUAUGAUCGGGAUAACAGUUGAACGGCUGCUAAUACCGGAUACGCUCAAAAUGAACUUUUUGAGGAAAGAUGGCCUCUGCUUGCAUGCUAUCACGUAAGGAUGAGUCCGCGUCCCAUUAGCUUGUUGGCGGGGUAACGGCCCACCAAGGCAACGAUGGGUAGCCGAUUUGAGAGGAUGAUCGGCCACACUGGAACUGAAACACGGUCCAGACUCCUACGGGAGGCAGCAGUGGGGGAAUAUUGCGCAAUGGGCGAAAGCCUGACGCAGCGACGCCGCGUGAGGGAUGAAAGGUUUUCGGAUCGUAAACCUCUGUCAGAAGGGAAGAAACUACGUUGUGCUAAUCAGCAGCGUACUGACGGUACCUUCAAAGGAAGCACCGGCUAACUCCGUGCCAGCAGCAGC
This 444-nucleotide ribosomal RNA is filed under the name uncultured bacterium. Its description in RNAcentral is "bacterial SSU rRNA". It matches the Rfam family "Bacterial small subunit ribosomal RNA", at positions 90 to 518 of the family's 1533-position model. The record is from RNAcentral.